UACAGAGGGUGCAAGCGUUGCUCGGAAUUACUGGGCGUAAAGCGUGUGUAGGCGGUCUUGUAAGUCGGGUGUGAAAGCCCUAGGCUCAACCUAGGAACUGCGCCCGAUACUGCGAGACUUGAGUGUCGGAGAGGAUAGUGGAAUUCCCAGUGUAGAGGUGAAAUUCGUAGAUAUUGGGAGGAACCCCAGAGGCGAAGGCGGCGCCCUGGCUCGCAACUGACGCUCAGACACGACAGCAUGGGGAGCGAACGGG
This 253-nucleotide ribosomal RNA is filed under the name uncultured bacterium. Its description in RNAcentral is "partial 16S ribosomal RNA". It matches the Rfam family "Bacterial small subunit ribosomal RNA", at positions 524 to 776 of the family's 1533-position model. The record is from RNAcentral.